This 490-nucleotide ribosomal RNA is filed under the name uncultured bacterium. RNAcentral describes it as "partial 16S ribosomal RNA". It matches the Rfam family "Bacterial small subunit ribosomal RNA", at positions 30 to 507 of the family's 1533-position model. The record is from RNAcentral.
AUUGAACGCUGGUGGCAGGCUUAACACAUGUAAGUCGAACGGUAACAGGAAUUAGCUUGCUAAUUUGCUGACGAGUGGCGGACGGGUGAGUAAUGCUUGGGAAUCUGGCUUAUGGAGGGGGAUAACUACGGGAAACUGUAGCUAAUACCGCGUAAAAUCUUCGGAUUAAAGGGUGGGACUUUCGAGCCACCUGCCAUAAGAUGAGCCCAAGUGGGAUUAGGUAGUUGGUUAGGUAAAGGCUGACCAAGCCGACGAUCUCUAGCUGGUCUGAGAGGAUGACCAGCCACACUGGAACUGAGACACGGUCCAGACUCCUACGGGAGGCAGCAGUGGGGAAUAUUGCACAAUGGGGGGAACCCUGAUGCAGCCAUGCCGCGUGAAUGAAGAAGGCCUUCGGGUUGUAAAGUUCUUUCGGUGACGAGGAAGGUUGAUAGGUUAAUAGCCUAUCAAAUUGACGUUAAUCACAGAAGAAGCACCGGCUAACUCCGUG